AGCACCUCAAGUGGUCAGGAUGAUUAUUGGGCCUAAAGCAUCCGUAGCUCGUUUUGUAAGUUUCGGUUAAAUCCAUGCGCUUAACGUAUGGGCUGCCGGGAAUACUGCAUAACUAGGAAGUGGGAGAGGUAGACGGUACUCGGUAGGAAGGGGUAAAAUCCUUUGAUCUAUUGAUGACCACCUGUGGCGAAGGCGGUCUACCAGAACACGUUCGACGGUGAGGGAUGAAAGCUGGGGGAGCAAACC
Molecule: ribosomal RNA, 246 nt
Filed under: uncultured crenarchaeote
Lineage: Archaea; Thermoproteati; Thermoproteota
Description: partial 16S ribosomal RNA
Rfam family: Archaeal small subunit ribosomal RNA
Source: RNAcentral